This is a non-coding RNA of Octopus sinensis (East Asian common octopus), 72 nucleotides long. The record is from the annotation of a RefSeq genome assembly. Lineage: Eukaryota; Metazoa; Mollusca; Cephalopoda; Octopoda; Octopodidae.
CCCGUGAUAGCUCAGUGGUAGAGCGGAGGACUGUAGAUCCUUAGGUCCCCGGUUCGAAUCCGGGUCGCGGGA